This 2343-nucleotide long non-coding RNA is filed under the name Equus asinus (donkey). Its description in RNAcentral is "lncRNA (ENSEASG00005028836.1)". Lineage: Eukaryota; Metazoa; Chordata; Mammalia; Perissodactyla; Equidae. The record is from RNAcentral.
CUUUAUUUUGAUGUAAUGGUUUUAACCUUUACGGAGUGCGUGUGUGUGCACGUGCAUGUGUGUGCACAUGGCUCUCCAGUUCUCUGGGGCUGGCCUGAUUUGCGUGGCCUCUCAAACCUGACUGCAAGGAAGGUUGGGAGAUGGUUUAGCUGUGUGCCCAGGACAGCCACGAGGAUGACUCUUCACCCUGGAUUUAGGUUCCCAGAAACCGCAAAGUGAGGUUCACCAGCUGCCUCUGAGACUCACAAAAUAAUGACAGAAGAGUCUGACUUGAUGUUCUAGCAGGUUGAAGAGGCAGGGGAAGGUUGGUAGAAAAGCAUGUACAGAACAGCAAUGGAGGCUGCAUCUCCUCUGUGGCUCUGGGUCCUGGACGCUGGGGCCACAGCGGGGGUCCAUAGCGCCUCUUCCCUCCCUCCGUCCUUGGCCAUUUGCCCUUUGGAAUCUAUUAGUGAGCUCUGCCAUUGUUUUUCUGAUUUCAUUAAAAAUGCCACCAAGACACAUGCUCUGCAGCAUGCCACUUCAGUCCUAAGUGGGGCAUUUUUGCUAGAUGAAUCGAUUUCUUAAAUGACAGCAUCUGUUUGCUUGUACACAUUUAUUUAUAAUUCUUCCCUUGGCAAUUAGAGCUGGGGAAUCAGUGAGCGGCAACCAGCUGUUUGAAUUAGCGGGGAAGGGGGGCAGAGAUUUGAUCUGUGAAGGAGAACCAAAGCCCUGGCCGGAAGCGAUAAAAACAGAACAGAUGUCCCCAGAUACACAGUCGUGGGGAGGAACUUGUAAAUCACAUUCACUGCCGGCCCCAGAGAGAUGGCAGCUGAGCUGGAGGAGCCAGAAAAUCCAUGACGGUGGGUGGCUGUGUCUGACUCCCCCUGGGACUCAAGGAGAUUGAUGGAUUCGGGGGCGGGGGGCAGUGGAGUAGCUGAAGGGAGUGGAAUUUGGUGAGUUGGACCCUCUGGUGAAUCCCCAUUGCACUCAGGGGAAACCCAAAGUCCUUACCACGGUCCACAAGGCCCUGUGGAUACGGGCGCUGUUACUCCUCUGCCCUCACUCCCUUCUGCUCUCUGCCUGCCUCACUCAGUCUGCUCCAGCCACCACGGCUCCUCACUGCUCCUAGAACGUGCCGGCUGCUCCCCCUCCUCAGGGCCUCUGAGGUGCCGGCGUCCCCUGUCUGGAGCUCUCCUUCUCCAUCUCCUCUCCACGGGGCUCGCUCUCACUCCUCUUUCAAAUCCGAGCUCCAACGUCACUUCUCAGAACCUGCUAGUUAACACUGCGCCUCGAGCAUCCUCUUCUCUCUUCCCGAGUUUAAUUUUCUCCCGGGCACUCACAACCUUUCUAACUCAACGUACAUCUUUUACAAGUUUAUUUUCUGUCUGCUUCAUGGAAGCUUCAUGAUGGCAGGGACCUCAUCUAUCUUGCUCACUGCUGAACUGUGCUUGGCACACAGUAGGUGCUCUGUAAAUAUCGGCUGAUUCAAUGGAAGGAUUUUUCAUAUGGGGGAACACAUCGCCCCUUUUUACUCCCCCCUCUGCAACUUGGGGAUGGGUCACAGCUCAGGUCACUGAGGGUGGCUCCCUGAGGACACCGACUCUGUAUUCUUGAUCUCCGUAGCUCCCCAGGGCCCAGCCCAGAGUCUGGCACACAGUAGGUGUGUAAUCAAUAGUUGUUGAAUAAAGAGAUGACUAAAUGACCCAGGCUGACGCUCAACAAUGCUCAAGGCAAAAAUGAGGCCUCAUCCAGAUGCCCUCUUUUAUUCCCUUGCCGGCAGCAACGAGUCUGACCAGCAGCGCCUGUAAAGUAUGCCUUGCAUGCGAGCACGUCUGCAGUUCCCCGCUUAGUACCCUGGCCUGAGCCGCUUCACCUCCUCCCAGACAGGUGCAACAGCUCCUAACCGGUCCCCGUUGCCACUCUCGCGCCCCCUACAGUCUGUUCUUCGCACAGCGGCAAGAGUGAGUUCACAGAACUGUCAAUCAGAUCGCGCCAACUGCUGCUCACCGCCCUCCAAAAGAGGCUUGUUCCACACCCAGACUCCGCCCUGCGCCGCCUGGUCGUGCGCGCGUGCCUGGCUCCUCGGCCCUCCCUCUCCGCGCUGGGCCACACUGGUCUCCUCUGAACGUCGCUUGGAGCCUCUGUGCUUGCUCUUCCUCUUCCUGGAAAGCCUUCUCCCUAGUUGGUUCCACGCCGGCUCCUUUAUCCUUCAGCAGAACUUAGAGCUUCUUGGAAGAACUAAGAGGCGGCAGGGGAUUCAAGGCACCACUGAACGUCUUGGAGCAACAGUGGGGAGAAGGGACCCCUCCCAGACUGCGGAGAAACUUCCCUUGGCUGGGGCAGGGGAGGGGGGGGGGGGGGGGG